This 486-nucleotide long non-coding RNA is filed under the name Homo sapiens (human). RNAcentral's name for it is "novel transcript". The record is from RNAcentral. Lineage: Eukaryota; Metazoa; Chordata; Mammalia; Primates; Hominidae.
CAGAGUCGGUUUGAGUUGCAUGACUGACAUCUUCUGGCUACAGUGGAUAUUACAGAAAGACUGAAACUCCGCAAAAGUGUGUUUGAAAAAAAGAAAAGCACCCUGGAAUUUGGAUCAUUAAGUAUCUGCCAUUUAGAAUGUGCCCACAACUGCCAAAUCAAUAAUAGAAUAAAGCAAGGGGAAUCCCUGAGUCUUCAUGGAGUAAGAGCCACACCUUCUUAAGGGGAUCAAGGGGCAAAGUGACUUGAAGACAAUAUUAUCAUGAUAAAUAAGGAAAUAAGGGAAAGUGUGGAAGGUUUUCAUCUCAAUGGACAUGAAAAAGUGUGCAUUAUUAGAGUUGAGUGCAUUUAAUAAGCCAGGAUUAUCUCCUAGAGUUGCAGAGCAAGACAAAGCAAGUAGAGUCGGUAUCUGGAGACCUUUUUGCAAAGAAGAGACAAGCUCUCUCUAGGCUAUAUCACUAGUCUCAACUUCCUGGGCUCCAGCCAU